RNAcentral lists this ribosomal RNA (462 nucleotides) under uncultured bacterium. RNAcentral's name for it is "partial 16S ribosomal RNA". It matches the Rfam family "Bacterial small subunit ribosomal RNA", at positions 28 to 507 of the family's 1533-position model. The record is from RNAcentral.
GACGAACGCUGGCGGCGUGCUUAACACAUGCAAGUCGAACGGAAAGGCCCUUCGGGGUACUCGAGUGGCGAACGGGUGAGUAACACGUGGGUGAUCUGCCCUGCACUUUGGGAUAAGCCUGGGAAACUGGGUCUAAUACCGAAUAGGACCACGCGCUUCAUGGUGUGUGGUGGAAAGCUUUUGCGGUGUGGGAUGGGCCCGCGGCCUAUCAGCUUGUUGGUGGGGUAAUGGCCUACCAAGGCUACGACGGGUAGCCGGCCUGUGAGGGUGACCGGCCACACUGGGACUGAGAUACGGCCCAGACUCCUACGGGAGGCAGCAGUGGGGAAUAUUGCACAAUGGGCGCAAGCCUGAUGCAGCGACGCCGCGUGGGGGAUGACGGCCUUCGGGUUGUAAACCUCUUUCAAUAGGGACGAAGCGCAAGUGACGGUACCUAUAGAAGAAGCACCGGCCAACUACGUG